AAUGAACGCUGGCGGCAUGCCUAACACAUGCAAGUCGAACGACAGCACAGUAAGAGCUUGCUCUUACGGGUGGCGAGUGGCGGACGGGUGACGCAUGCAUCGGAUUCCUCUUUGACGGGGGUGAUAACGUAGGACAACUUCUGCUAACACAGCAUACAUCCUACGGGUGUGAGCAGGGGUUCUUUGGACUUUUCGCGAUUGUAUGAGCCGAUGUCGGAUUAGCUAGUUGGCUGGGUAAGGGCCCACCAAGGCGACGAUCCGUAGCUGAUCUGAGAGGAUGAUCGGCCACACUGGAACUGAGACACGGUCCAGACUCCUACGGGAGGCAGCAGUAGGGAAUCUUGCGCAAUGGGCGAAAGCUUGAUACAGCAAUACCGCGUGAGUGAUGAAGGACUUCGGGUUGUAAAGCUCUGUUGUUGGGAAAGAAAAAAAGCGGGUUUAUCCCCGGCUGUAAUGACGGUACCGAAAGAAUAAGCACCGGCUAACUCCGUG
RNAcentral lists this ribosomal RNA (492 nucleotides) under uncultured bacterium. RNAcentral describes it as "partial 16S ribosomal RNA". It matches the Rfam family "Bacterial small subunit ribosomal RNA", at positions 29 to 507 of the family's 1533-position model. The record is from RNAcentral.